Molecule: ribosomal RNA, 850 nt
Filed under: Streptomyces graminearus
Lineage: Bacteria; Bacillati; Actinomycetota; Actinomycetes; Kitasatosporales; Streptomycetaceae
Description: bacterial SSU rRNA
Rfam family: Bacterial small subunit ribosomal RNA
Source: RNAcentral
UGCUUAACACAUGCAAGUCGAACGAUGAACCACUUCGGUGGGGAUUAGUGGCGAACGGGUGAGUAACACGUGGGCAAUCUGCCCUUCACUCUGGGACAAGCCCUGGAAACGGGGUCUAAUACCGGAUACUGACCUGCCAAGGCAUCUUGGCGGGUCGAAAGCUCCGGCGGUGAAGGAUGAGCCCGCGGCCUAUCAGCUUGUUGGUGAGGUAAUGGCUCACCAAGGCGACGACGGGUAGCCGGCCUGAGAGGGCGACCGGCCACACUGGGACUGAGACACGGCCCAGACUCCUACGGGAGGCAGCAGUGGGGAAUAUUGCACAAUGGGCGAAAGCCUGAUGCAGCGACGCCGCGUGAGGGAUGACGGCCUUCGGGUUGUAAACCUCUUUCAGCAGGGAAGAAGCGAAAGUGACGGUACCUGCAGAAGAAGCGCCGGCUAACUACGUGCCAGCAGCCGCGGUAAUACGUAGGGCGCAAGCGUUGUCCGGAAUUAUUGGGCGUAAAGAGCUCGUAGGCGGCUUGUCACGUCGGUUGUGAAAGCCCGGGGCUUAACCCCGGGUCUGCAGUCGAUACGGGCAGGCUAGAGUUCGGUAGGGGAGAUCGGAAUUCCUGGUGUAGCGGUGAAAUGCGCAGAUAUCAGGAGGAACACCGGUGGCGAAGGCGGAUCUCUGGGCCGAUACUGACGCUGAGGAGCGAAAGCGUGGGGAGCGAACAGGAUUAGAUACCCUGGUAGUCCACGCCGUANACGGUGGGCACUAGGUGUGGGCAACAUUCCACGUUGUCCGUGCCGCAGCUAACGCAUUAAGUGCCCCGCCUGGGGGAGUACGGCCGCAAGGCUAAAACUUCAAGGA